RNAcentral lists this long non-coding RNA (2115 nucleotides) under Olea europaea subsp. europaea. Lineage: Eukaryota; Viridiplantae; Streptophyta; Magnoliopsida; Lamiales; Oleaceae. The record is from RNAcentral.
AGCCAAGCGGAGCGCUUAGUAGUUGAUCCGAGCUGGUUUUAUAGGCUCUUGGCCCGCCAAGCCUACAGUGACCAAAUCGUCACUUUUUUUUUUUUUAAAAAAAGGCCACAAAGUUUUACAUAUGACUGUUGGGGUCCCCAGCAAUCAUUUUUUUUGUCAUUUUUGUUGACCUCGCUAAUUGCUUCCUCCACGUGGCCAAUCGAUAGCGACUCCACGUAAUCCUCUUUGUGCACAACAACGCACGGUCAGAAGCACAUGGUCGGAACUAGCAGGGGUGGUGGUGGCCGCAUACACUCCGACGGUCAAGUCAGUAUUUGGUGAUCGGAACAAUACUCAAGUUAUGCAAGAGAGUGGGGAGGAGAAUAUAUAUUUUUUAGUAUGGAGAGCUAAGUUGUGAGAGUUUCGUUACCUUUGUCUCUUGCCAAACCUUGGUGUAUUUAUAGACGUGGAGCACCGUUGGAUGUGAAACACGUGUAUGCAUCUGACAGUGUGAGGCGUCCGCUCAUAGGCGUCAAUCAGCCGCGUCUAGAGUGGGCAGACAAUUAAUUAUUCUGAGUUGAGUUGACAUAAAGUUAAUACGUCAUAUCAACUAGACCUAUGGAGACGUCACAUCAAUUAAUCCUUGGAGGCAGAGAGGAUCCUAAUACAGAUAUCUUCCUGAAAGUGGCGGCGGAGAGAUCUGUUAAGAGAGCACUUCGAAAUGCCUAACACUUCGAUGUCAGGGGGCACUUCGGUUACUUCAGUGGAUCGACUCUGCGCCUUGCAGCACGUCAAGUUGGAAGUCGUCAGAAGUUGGCGUAACUUUGAAAUCACUUCAGAUGGACAAGUGGCACUUUGGGGAGUGGUAUGCCUGAUGUUUCGAAAUGGUUCAGUUAGGGGCAUAAAAGUAGUCCCCCCAAGUUCAGGCAUGAAUAUUCAUAUCAUGGGUAGACUUAUUUUCCCGAUUGUGUAUGCUGGCCUUACAGUAGGGAUUGUAGAUUCUGAUGAAGUGCUGAUGUGAAAGGGCGAAGUGAGCAGAUGUGCCGAACACUUGUUUGCUGAGCCUUAGUGAUAAUCGAGGUGAUGUGGGUAAGGCGUUCUCUCGGUUGAUCGUUCGUUGUUUCAUGAUGAGCCUUUAGUGUUUGACAGAAGUGUAUGAGUUGUGAUUUUGUUGGGAGAGGAGUUCAUCUGCAACCGGGGCGCUGACCCACAGGGGACGACGCAUGGAGAGAUGGCUAAAGCUUUGUAAAGCUUAGGAGGGAACGCAGUGACCAAGGCGAUGACCCACAGGGGACCCCUCGUUAGGUGCGUCUAAACUUUGUAAAGCUGAGUGAAGAGCUCAUCUGCCAUCGGUGCGCUAACCCACAGGGGACGACGCGUUGAGAGAUGGCUAAGCUUUGUAAAGUUUAGGAGGGAAUGUAGUCAUCGAGGCAGUGACCCACAAGGGACUUCGCGUCAGGUGCAUUUAAACUUUGUAAAGCUGAGUAAGGAGUUCAUCUGCUAUUGGUGCGCUGACUCACAGGAGACGAUGCGUUGGGAGAUGGCUAAAGCUUUGUAAAGUUUAGGAAGGAACGCAUCCACCGAGGCGGUGACCCACAAGGGACCCCACAUUAGGUGCGUCUAAACUUUGUAAAGUUGAGGAGUUCGAUCUGAGGUGUCCAUUUCUGACGUUAGAUGAUUUGACAGCUGUCGCGUAUUUCGAAGGUGACAGUUGGAUGCGAUGCCCAUUCCCAGAAAAGGCUACUGUAGCUACUUAUUGUAGACGGCUGAUGGGGAUUGAGGCGACGCAUUUUAUGCGUGCGUGAACAACUAGAUCUUGGGCGUAGAUCAAAUCCGAUGUUUCAUUUCAACGGCCUAAAUUUGUGAUCCGAUGGACAGCCUAGAUCGAUAGCAUUUGAAUUCGACGAUGGAGAUCAUCUGGAGUGUUCUAUAAAAGGGAGACUUGAGCGUUUUGAGAGGUUUUGACUCUUGCGAAAUUAGACUUUCUUUACUCUCAAAAUUCUCUGCAAUUUCUGUUAAUCUUCAAGCGUUUUUCGGCAACAUUUCUAGUUUCCGACGAGUUCCAGAGGGCCCUUUCUUCUUUUUCGAUUGUAGAAAACCCCAAUCCAUUCGUUUUAGUAAGUAUCUCACUAGUUU